This 454-nucleotide ribosomal RNA is filed under the name uncultured bacterium. Its description in RNAcentral is "partial 16S ribosomal RNA". It matches the Rfam family "Bacterial small subunit ribosomal RNA", at positions 28 to 507 of the family's 1533-position model. The record is from RNAcentral.
GAUGAACGCUGACAGAAUGCUUAACACAUGCAAGUCAACUUGAACUUCGGUUUGGGUGGCGGACGGGUGAGUAACGCGUAAAGAACUUGCCUCACAGCUAGGGACAACUUUUGGAAACGAAUGCUAAUACCUGAUAUUAUGAUUAUAUGGCAUCGUAUAAUUAUGAAAGCUAUCUGCGCUGUGAGAGGGCUUUGCGUCCCAUUAGCUAGUUGGAGAGGUAACAUCUCCCCAAGGCGAUGAUGGGUAGCCGGCCGGUGAGGGUGAUCGGCCACAAGGGGACGGAGACAGGGCCCGUACAGAUUCGGGAGGCAGGAGUGGGGAAUAUAGGACAAAGGACCGAGAGACUGAUGCAGCAAUUCUGUGUGGAGGAUGAAGUUUUUCGGAAUGUAAAAAGGUUUCAGUAGCGAAGAAAAUAAUGACGGUACCAACAGAAUAAGCGACGGCUAAAUACAUG